GGAGUCUGGGCCGUGUCUCAGUCCCAAUGUGGCCGUUCAACCUCUCAGUCCGGCUACUGAUCGUCGACUUGGUGGGCCGUUACCUCACCAACUAUCUAAUCAGACGCGAGCCCAUCUUUCAGCGAUAAAUCUUUGAUCGUAAAAUGAUGCCAUCUCACGAUGUUAUGCGGUAUUAGCAGUCGUUUCCAACUGUUGUCCCCCUCUGAAAGGCAGGUUGCUCACGUGUUACUCACCCGUCCGCCACUAAGCUUGAAAAGCAAGCUCUCCAAGCUCCGUUCGACUUGCAUGUGUUAGGCGCGCCGCCAGCGUUCGUCCUCGAGCCACUGAUCAAACUACU
RNAcentral lists this ribosomal RNA (337 nucleotides) under uncultured Oscillospiraceae bacterium. RNAcentral's name for it is "partial 16S ribosomal RNA". Lineage: Bacteria; Bacillati; Bacillota; Clostridia; Eubacteriales; Oscillospiraceae. The record is from RNAcentral.